AUGGUGAUGGAAUGUAUGACAAGCAAAUUCGUAAUGGUCGCAAAAUGAAUGGGUUGGGUAAGUAGUUCACAUUUUCAGAUCAAAACAGAUCAUUUUGAUUGGAAUGGAUCACCCGUCAGCUCAACACCUUUAUCAGGCCUUUUUUUUAGUUGACUAGUGUGUGAGAUAGAUUUUACAAAAACGAUAUUUUUCAAAGGUAAUCUAAAAUUAUAGUGCGUCAAACCUAAGUUUAAUAGCUUCAGGUUAGAGAAAGACGGUGUUUUGACCAACUAGAUGCUAUAACAAACUAUUUUGUGGAGGUGGUAAUAUGGGUGUGUUGGGUAGCAGGUCAUGACGGCCCAACGGGUAUAGACUAGGGGCAGCAAUUCUUGACACGACCCGACACAAAAAAACAGGUUUGGGUCGACUAACACGAGCCAUUUAAAAAAAGGCCGGGUUCGGGUUGACCCAUAUUAAAAACAGUUCGGCUUGACUCGUAUAAAACGGGUUGACCCGUUAACGCAUUUAACUAUUCAGAAGAAAAAAAACAAAAAAAACAAACUUUAUGUUUUUGUUUUUCCGUUUCCAUUUACAUAAUUAGUCAUAAUAAUGUUAGUUUGGCACACUAUAUUAUUUACUUGUCAGUUGUCACACUCAUACUCACCAUUAAACAUGGUAUCGAUAACCCGCUUAAAACCCAACAACUCGCUUAUAAUAUGACUCAUUUAAAAAUACGGGUGAAACGGGUCGUGUUCAGAUUGACCUGAAUUUAUGUGUAUACGGGUUAGGGUUAAAAUCUUUGACACGAAGGAAUAAUAUGGGUCAGGUUCAGGUUGCACAUUUUAUGUUUUUGUUUUUUCCGUUUCCACUUACAUGGUUAGUCAUAAUAAUUUUUUUUUAUUGGCACACUAUAUUAUUUACUUGUCACACUCAUACUCACCAUUAAAUAUGGUAUCGAUAACCCGCUUAAAACCCAACAACUCGCUUAUAAUAUGACUCAUUUAAAAAUACGGGUGAAACGGGUCGUGUUCAAAUUGACCUGAAUUUAUGUGUAUGCGGGUUAGGGUUAAAAUCUUCAACACGAAGGAAUAAUAUGG
Molecule: long non-coding RNA, 1076 nt
Filed under: Helianthus annuus (common sunflower)
Lineage: Eukaryota; Viridiplantae; Streptophyta; Magnoliopsida; Asterales; Asteraceae
Description: hypothetical non coding rna
Source: RNAcentral